GGAGAUGUGAUGAAGUUGAAGUAAGAUUUCUGUUUCCAGCUAGCAAACCCACCCCAAACUUAGUAGCAUACAACAACAUUUUUAUAGUAUUCAAAGGAGCUGUGGAUCAAGAAAUCAGAUAGAAUACAGUGUAGACAGCUCAGCCCUGAUCUUUGCUGUCUGGAACCCACCUGAGGUGGGCUUAUAUGAUGAGUAACCAUCCAUUUCUAAGAUGGUUACUUGAGCUAAAGAACACCUUUACCUGAGACACUCAACCAGGGCACCUGCCUGUGUCUCUCCACACAUCAGCCUCUCACACUGAGAGCUUCAAUAUUGUUGCUAUCAAAGCAAAAAGCCUCCAUAGCCUUUGAUAUGAUAACCUUAGAAGUUAUGUGACAUUAUUUACACUCCACUCAUUGGUUGAAAGUCUAACUUAUUAAUAAAAAGUGUUAUAUUUGGGCAUAUUUAGACAGUAGAUAGAUGAUAGAUAAGAGGUGGCAGAUAGAUAGAUAGAUAGAUAGAUAGAUAGACAGACAGACAGACAGACAGAUAGAUUACAUGAGCUUAUUCUCCCCAUGCCAUCAUCCCCUCCUCUGCUCAGCACUCCUGCCUCCCCUUAGUCCUUUUUGUUUCCCUGGACAGUUAGAUUCUACUUUCAUAUUAAAUAUACAUAAACAUGAUUUGUGUAUCUGUAUAAAAUCUAGGAACCACAAAUUCUGAAAAUUAUAUCUGAAGAGACAGCACUUAUUUGAAUGCUGAUCUAGAGAGGGGCAACCUUGUCAGCCAGGGGAGCCAGAGUCUAGGUAGAACCUCAGGGAGUUCUCCCCACAUACACUUACACACACACUUACACAUAACAUAGUCACACACACAUAGUCACACACAGUUACACACACACAGUCACAAACACACUCAUUCACACACAUAUACACUCAUUCACAUACACACACUCAUACAGUCACACAGUCUCACACCUACAGUCACACACACACACUCACACACAUACUCACAUGCACACAGUCACACACAUUCACACACUCACACACUCACUGUCACAGAAGUAUAAAGGUGUUGGUAAAGUUCUACAAUGAACACAAUUUUCCAGUUUUUGUUUCUUGCUUUCCACUGCUUUGCCUAGCCUGCUGUAACUAAAUUUGGGGUGUGGUCCCAUGAGGUCAACAUGAAGGACUUCAAUGAUAAAAGUGGAGGAGAUUACAUGUGAGUCGCACAACAAGAAUGAAGAGCCUCCUGCCUAAACAUGUGAGUCGCAGGAAGUCAUUCCCUUCUACCCACAGUGCUUCACGAGCUGAGUUCCUCGUCUCCACCUUAGAGCAAAGGCUGAGGGACCAAGACCAGAUUGUGCACAUAUAAAGAAGAACAAAGCCAACAUGGGAAGUACUUCUUCCAACAGAGCCUGUGCGUCAGAGUAGAGACUGGAAUUCUUGGCAUUCUUGCCCACGUGAUGAUAGCUCCUGUCUCAUGAAACCAACUCACAAAGUCCCACUUCACCUCCAGCUAGGUCUGAAGCAAGCUACCUUUUCUGGUAUCGGAGAGACAUAUGUGGAAACAACCACCUGCCUGUUGCUGCAAAUCUUUGAUUUUCUUAUCAAUAGUCCCCAGCUGUCUCCCCAAAUCUGAAUGUGUUGACAACCGAGCCAUGAGAGUGCAGCCAUGUUGGGUUACUGCAUUGUAAGCAAGCUUUCUCAGCAGCUAUGACAGUCAUUCUAAUGUCUUGACCUAAAGUGUUCUACACAAAUCUACCCAGAGCCCUUUAUUCAGCUUUUCUGGUGGAUCUGAAGGCUUCCGUGUUCUACCACGUGAAUGAUGCGGUGACAAUGUCUCAGAAAGACAUCGAGCUAACGCUUUACAUAACAGCUCCAGUUUCAACUGUCAGCACAUGAUAUGUGAAAUGAAAAUCCCUAUGUAGUCAUUAAUACAUAAUGUCCCAGUCACUGCCUCAAAAAUCAUUUUUUUAUUGCCUCACCAAGGGAAAAAAAAAACCAAAACAACCAAUCCCAUGACUCCCCCAGGCCCUGUGCUGUGAAUCUAUCAUCGCCUCUUGGCCAUCUCUUGGGCUCAUCUCCCUGACAUGACAGAGUGUAAUAGCUUCAAAGAAAAGCAACGGUGUUGGUUUUUCAAACACCAUUUCCUGAGUUUGAACAAAUGUGUUUCAUCACAGCUCUGUCUGGCAGUGGGAUGCUUGGUGGCUGAUGGAUGGUCCCAGCCAUGGAGACCUGGGUAACGAUCCUGGAAACUACCUCCCUAUAUACCACAGACAUCUGUGUCAGAGGUGGCACAGCACUGGGGCUCACAGAAUGGGAGGAAUGCAUGUUCCAUGUGCUUUCAUGAGUGGUUCGGGUCCUACCCUCCUCCAAAUCCUAGCUCCAUUAAGCCCAAAGCUGCUGCUAUUGUAUGACCCCCCUGGAGGUCUCAAAUGUGUUGUCACAUAUUUAAAUAAGGCUUUCUCCAUCAUAGAAGUUAUUGGGGGUAAAAGCACCAUCUCUAGUCCCACAUCUACAGCUCACCAGCAACGAGGCCCUGAGGAAGAACUGUGAGAGCCGAAGUUUUUGGUUUGAAGAGUAUGGCGAAGUUCCUCAAGUGGAUCAAAUAAUACAGGAAAAGUUUUUCUGAGAUAAUAAAUAUCAUUCAAAUGUACACAACACCAUAGUUUAUUUAAAGCACAUUAUCUUUCGUGGCAGCUUUUUCAUUUUCAUUUAUUUGCCUGCCGUUUUCCUGGUAUGACCCCAGACACUUAUUGGUGUUGCCCUCCCAAACCCUCCCAAACAAGAUGUUCUUAUUUCAAAUUGAGUGAGACUUACCCUGUUCCCUUUACCCUCACUCCCUUCCAAACUUACAGCAUUUGAAAAGAGGCACUGUGGUAUCCUGUUUGGGUGAAAUAUUUGUCCAGAAAGUAUAAGUUGCUACUUUACAUUAUAUUAAAAAUGUUAUGAUAUUAGAUGUAAGUGGAAAUUUUAUGGAACCUUUACUGAGCAAAGUCUCAGUUACUUCCUCUUAUGCUCCUUCAAGAGCUACUUAUGGGGACUGGAGAGAUGGCUCAGAGGUUAAGAGCACUGACUGUUCUUCCAGAGGUCCUGAGUUCAAUUCCUAGCAACCACAUGGAGGCUCACAACCAUCCCUUAUGAGAUCUGGUGCCCUCUUCUGGUAUGCAGAUAUAACUGGAAGCAGAAUGUUGUAUACAUAAUAAAUAAAUAAUUUAAAAAAAAAUGAGCUACUUAUGUCAGUGGAUCUCCAGCAGGGGCAGGUCUGUCCCUCUGGGAUGUUAGCAAAGUUUGUAGAUACUGCUAGAGUCUUGGAAGGAGAAGUUGCUAUUGGCAUAUAUUGGGGAGAGGUCAAAGAUGCUAUUAAACAUCUUACAAGGCACAGAACAGCCAAGAAUAUUUAGGCCAGAAGUCAAGGUGCCAAGGCCGAGAAAUACUGACUGCACAACUUCCACAUAGUAUCCAAGAAGUCUGUGGCAUUGCCGUACAUGUCUGCAUGGGAAGAUGGUGCCACCCCUUUCCAAUUCACUUAAACUUCAUACCUGGGUAUUCAAUACCUUGUGGAAGGUUAAUGGACUUUAGUAAUGGCUCCAUAUUCUAGAGGCUCAGGUCCAGUAGGCGAGAGACAUAAGUGUGGACUAACCUCGUGUUGCAGUAUAAAUCAAUGAGGUCAAGAGGGAAAAGUGCUCUCAAGACAAGAGGCCUGGGAAAGAUGAGCUCCAGUGGUCAGGAAGACAGGCAGGAGCUCAGUCUGAAGAAGGAAGUAGUGUGGUGACACAUGAAACUUCGGACAAUGUGCCACGGUGUGCAGAAAACUGGGGAAAGACAGCAGUGAAGCAGAGACACUGUCCAGUAGGGGAGAGCCUUGGGCUGUCCUGGGUGCUCAGCCACGGCUGGGUGAUGCAUUCGGAUGGAGGCUGAGGCUAGCCUUCUUCCUUUUACUGCAUCUACUUUUUAUAAAUGAUGGGUCACAUAUUUCUAUUUAAAUGUAUUUGCUCUGUCUGAAAACACUAACAUUCAAUGGCAAAUCUUACCAAUUUUAUUCUGUACUUAAUAGAAAAGAGAGUUUCUGUCUAAAAUUUAAUUAGAAAAGUCUUUCCAAUACCAGAGCUCUGGUCCUGGUCCUGGUUCAGUCAUUAGUAAUUUUGUUGUUUCAUUUUUUUAAUUUUUUAAAGGUUUCUUUAUUUUAGCCAGGCAGUGGUGGUGCACACCUUUAAUCCCAGCACUUGGGAGGCAGAGGCAGGUGAGUUCAAGGUUAGCCUGGGCUAUACAGAGAAACCCUUUCUCAGAAAACAAAAACAAAAACAAUUCUUUAGGAGGAAGAGGAAAGAGAGAGACUCUGUGUGUGUGUGUGUGUGUGUGUGUGUGUGUGUGUGUGUGUGUGUGUGUGUGUGUUCAUGCACACUCGUGUGCAUGCUUGCACAUGUCAUGUGUAUGUGCCAUGCAUAUGUAGAGGUCAGAGGACAACUUUCUGGGUCACUUCUCUCCUUCUGCUAUGGGUUGGGAUUUCAAACUUGAGUUGUCAGUCUUGGUGGCAUCCACUGUGCUAUCUUGAUAACUCCCAAUAAUAAUUUUGUGAGCAAAAUUUAUUUUUCUAAAAACUAAUUUUGGUGCAUAUAUUUAGAAGUAUCUCAAAUUCAUAGAGUCUAGAGAUGGAAGAGACCUCAAGAAACCUCAAUUUCAGCUAGCCUAAUCUUUCCAGAUAGGCUUUGACAUCAUCAUGCACAGGGGAAACAAGUUAAUUUCUGCACAUUUGAGACAGGCAUAAGCUACAGCAAAUGGCAGAAUUUGUUUUUAAUAUCAUACAUUUGCUGAGGGGUAGAGGUUUCUACUAUUGUCCGAGAGUUGUGUCCAGAUUUGAUUGCUCAAAUAUUAAGGGGAUAGUCUUGGGGUGUGUUCAUUAUUUAACCCUAAAAACCAUUAGGCACAGUUGAGGGAUCCAAGCUGGCAAGACCAGAUAUGCAAAAGUGACCUGAAGUCAGAAUCUCAGAUUCACUGGCAGUGACCACUGUUUGGGGACUUCCGUGACAACUCAAACUUUGCACAGAGCAGACCCUUCCCCCUUCUCUUGGGCUGGAGCAUGUAAUGAAUCUCCUUGGGGAUCUUGGCUGACAUUAACCCCUAAAAAGCCCCCCUCCUAGAUUGGCCCAUAUCUGGGCUCCCUGGCGACCUCCUUUUUCUCCCCCAAUUCAGAAUCUCUGCCUUGAUUACAGCUGGAACAUUCUUCUUGACAAAAAUGAACUCUUUAGUGUUCACACACUUACGUGUAUAGCAUUUGGCCCAUUCUAUAUCAAGAACAUGCAGAACACAGCCUGGUUUUCUUCCUUGGGAUCACCCUGAUUUAUAAUAGCAAGUGAGCAUGGACCUGUCUCCGUACACUUCCACCUGGUGUGUGGCUUGGGCUUCCUUUCACUGGGUUGAGAGAUGGAGGAAGCAAAAUGUGGAACUCCCAAGGCCUUGGCUGCCCCAUUUCCUAAAGCAAGCUCCAUCCCUGGCAUCACAAGUGACUCUGGCACCCUUUUCCUGAAACAAAUGAACAGAAAAGACAGCUGCACAAAAGCUAGCUCCUUUUUGUGGGUUAACAUAAAUGCUUUACGAGAUCCUUUUACAGCUGCCAGCAAUCAUUUGCUCAUAUUGUGCUCAGGCUAGGGAUGGUCCCUUUCUGCUCAGAAGAAAGUCAACGUCCUAUAAAACAAGCUUCAGUAGAAUUGUUGGCAAGAAGAAACAAGCCUGAGCAUGGCUUCUGGUGAUUGGUCAUGACACCCUUGGAGAUAGCACUGCAGAGGGACACAGCAGUGGCUGGCACAGUCCUCCUUCCACUGCAAAGCCCAGGCCUCCCUGAAGAUGCUUGGGCCCCUGGAUUUGCUAAAACAAGGAGACUUUGUUCCUUCUUCUAAAUAAGCUGCCAUUAUAUCCCCCAAACUUCUAGCCCAUUAUGUAUACCCAAACUUCCUAACCCAUUGUAUAUCCCCAAACUUACUAACUCAUUAUGUAUCCCCAAACUUACUAACUCAUUAUAUACCCCCAAACUUACUAACCCAUUGUAUACCCCCAAACUUACUAGCCAACAGGUAUCACAUUAGACUGUCCAUCACUGUCCACUGCAAGGCAUGAGUUUUUCACUGUGGGGAUUCCAUGGCCGACUGGGAACUGGGAUUCUUGGUGUCU
Molecule: long non-coding RNA, 6146 nt
Filed under: Cricetulus griseus (Chinese hamster)
Lineage: Eukaryota; Metazoa; Chordata; Mammalia; Rodentia; Cricetidae
Description: lncRNA (ENSCGRG00015034592.1)
Source: RNAcentral